RNAcentral lists this small RNA (99 nucleotides) under Klebsiella quasipneumoniae. RNAcentral describes it as "partial RtT sRNA". It matches the Rfam family "RtT RNA", at positions 30 to 130 of the family's 130-position model. From Rfam's summary of the family: This family represents a bacterial cis-regulatory element known as RtT RNA. The exact function of RtT is unknown although it is thought that it may be involved in changing the cellular response in relation to amino acid starvation. Lineage: Bacteria; Pseudomonadati; Pseudomonadota; Gammaproteobacteria; Enterobacterales; Enterobacteriaceae. The record is from RNAcentral.
CUGCAGCAGGUUCGGGUCGAACGCAGUGAGACAACGGAGCCGCUUGCGGCGACGGCCCGAAGGGCGAGGCGAAGCCGGGUCAUCCUGCACGACCCACCA